Molecule: small RNA, 146 nt
Filed under: human gut metagenome
Description: M-box riboswitch (ykoK leader)
Rfam family: M-box riboswitch aptamer (ykoK leader)
About the family: M-box riboswitch, also know as ykoK leader is described as a metaloregulatory RNA that sense divalent metals and function as a genetic control element of genes related to divalent metal transport in bacteria.
Source: RNAcentral
AAUCUCCGGUAGGUAAGGCUACCGCAGGGAUACGGACUGCUGCCGCGAAGUAGUGGAGACACUACGAGAAGGUUAACAGACUGCGUCGAACACAAGGCGCAAUCUAACGUAGUUUCACCGCCCUGCGGAGUUAAAGCCAGAAUGGU